Long non-coding RNA from Zingiber officinale, 486 nucleotides. RefSeq lists it as uncharacterized. The transcript has 2 exons. Lineage: Eukaryota; Viridiplantae; Streptophyta; Magnoliopsida; Zingiberales; Zingiberaceae. The record is from RefSeq and is a predicted model, not a curated record.
AAGAGAAACUUAGGUUUUAUCCCGAAACCUUUCUCCUCACCUCUUCCCGUGCGACGCUGAUUUUGCCCAAGCGAAGACGAAAAUGAAGCCCUAGCUUCACUCCGGUAGCCGAUCGAGGGGGUUCUCCGAGAGCUAGAUACACCGUUGUGAUCCUCUCGUCGAGGAGCCGUGAGCACAAGAAGAGACUGAGAUUUGGAGCUCACCUGAAACCCUAAAGGUCUUCCUCGGCUGUAAUUCCCAGAAACAGCAUUAUAGAGCAAAGGAAAAGCUAUAGCAAAGGAAGGCGACAAGGAGGUGUUCGAUGAUGUGUGAUGCCAGGACUAUGGGAGAGACUUGGGAUGUUAUUGAGUUUUUCGCAUUUUAGUGAUUAAUAAAUAUUUGAAAUUGUACUUUAAGAUCCAUGUCAUUUGGGAUUAUUUUUGUUUUAGAUUGCAUGCUAAGAUGAACUCAGUUUAGUAAGUAUGUAUUUUGGGCGUUUGACGAUUA